CCCGGUGACCAUGGCGGAGGGGCCACACCUCUUCCCAUUCCGAACAGAGCCGUUAAGCCCUCCAGCGCCGAUGGUACUACCUCCAAAGGGUGGGAGAGCAGGUCGUCGCCGGGA
Molecule: ribosomal RNA, 114 nt
Filed under: bacterium
Lineage: Bacteria
Also listed under: 2 other names
Source: RNAcentral